Molecule: long non-coding RNA, 5482 nt
Filed under: Nothobranchius furzeri (turquoise killifish)
Lineage: Eukaryota; Metazoa; Chordata; Actinopteri; Cyprinodontiformes; Nothobranchiidae
Description: lncRNA (ENSNFUG00015014158.1)
Source: RNAcentral
AUGUUGAAAAAUAACUUUAAAUGUUACCUGACCAAACUGAUAACUAACAUCCAGGACAGCGAAGGGAAACCACAGAGCUUCCAGGUAGCUGUUAACAUCACAGAAGCUCGACAGCUUGUUGGCGAAAACAUCGACCCCAGCGUGGUCGUCGAGAUCGGGGACGAAAAGAAACAGACGACUGUCAAAGAGGGAACUAAUGCCCCCUUUUACAAUGAGUACUUUGUGUUUGACGUCUUUGCCUACAAAGAGAUCUUCUAUGAUAAAGUCAUUAAGCUGACGGUAAUUCAUUCAAAGAUGCUGAGGACUUUCAGUGUGGGGUCUUUCAAGCUGGAUGUGUGGACCGUCUACAAACAGCCAGGUGCGUCUCGCUCUCACCUAUCAACUAAAGACUGCUGUCCUGAUUCUUUAGGUCACCAGUUCAUCAAUAAAUGGGCAAUGUUAACCGAUCCUGGAGACAUUAGCACUGGAGUCAAAGGUUAUGUUAAAUGUGACAUCAGUGUUUCAGCGAAGGGAGAGGCCAUGCAGCCCGGACAGAAAGCCAGUGAUGCUGAGGAGCAGAUAGACAAGAACCUGCUGAUUCCAGAGGGGUUUCCUUCUGAGCGCCCAUGGGCUCGUUUCUGUGUGAAGGUGUACCGAGCUGAAGGCCUUCCGCGAAACAACUCCAGCAUCAUGGCCAACGUCACCAAGGCCUUCAUCGGAGACAACACGGCGCUAAUAGACCCUUAUGUUGUGGUCAGCUUCUUUAAACAAAUGGGCCGCACGUCCACUAAGAAGUCCACAGCAGACCCAGUGUGGAAUGAGCAGAUUGUCUUCACUGAGAUGUUUCCGCCUUUGUGUCAGAGAUUAAAGAUUCAGGUCUGGGAUGAAGGAAGCAUGAAUGAUGUUGCCAUAGGAACCCAUUACUUUGAUCUGAAACGUGUUUCCAAUGAACAAGAUGGUGACAAAGGGUUUUUACCAACAUUUGGCCCUGCUUGGGUCAACCUGUAUGGCUCUGCAAGAAACUACACUUUGGGUGACGACACAGGAGAACUUAACGAAGGCAUUGGCGAGGGCGUUUCCUACAGGGGUCGAGUCUACUUGGAGCUGACAGUGGAGAUCCUGUCAGGGGGGACAGGCUCAGAAUCAAAGCUCAGCCAAAUGAUGAAACCUGCAAAAGACGCUAAAGCAGGCAAGGUGGCUGGGAAGGAUGGGAAGACUCCUGCUGGUGGAGGAGGAACGGUGAAUGGUGCUGUUUGUGUGCAGCUGACUGAAGAUGACUGUGAAAGCUUCCUGCUGUUUGGUGCUGUGUUUGAGGCCACGAUGAUUGACCGUAAGCUAGGAGACAAGCCCAUCAGCUUCGAGUUCUCCCUGGACACCACCGAUGUGUUUGGCACCUCCCCCUCAGGCUCCUUCUCCAUCAGCACACCCCUCCUCUCACCCAGAGAGCCUUCAGACCCAAGUGUGAUAGCUAAAUCUGUCACUCCUCCAGAGAGACCUCACAUUGGUUUUGCUCUUUUACAUUACAUGCAUCUACCCCUGGAGAAGAAGAAGCCAUGUUUUAACGUGUUGAGUUACUGGGAGGACAGAACCUACCGUCUGUACAACUCUAACAUGCUGGAGAAUAUAGCUGUACUCUUUGAGGAGGGGGUGUCUGGUGCAGCUGAGCUUCAUAGGAAGAUGGAGCCGGCAGCCGGGCCAACACUCAGAACUGUUCUCAGAGAUUUUUGCUUGGAUUUCAUGCUGAUGACAGUUAUGAAAAUAAAUCCUAGUAAAUGUGUUGUAAACAUCCAGGUUGCAUUUGUGUUGCAGGAGGGUAUGAUAGGAGAGGCCAAGUCAUUGACAGAGAGACGAAGAAAAGCUGGUGGAGUAAAAGAAAUGCUGCAGGAAGCUACAAAGAUAAUGCAGAAACUCAGGUUCCUUGUGGAAGAGCCCCAGCACAUGGUACCAGACAUGUUUGUGUGGUUGCUAAGCAACAACAAACGAGUAGCUUACGCCAGGGUUCGAACCCGCGACCUGCUGUACUCUGGCAACCAGGAAUCCCGAGGGGUUCUCUGUGGGAAAGUAGUAACCUUGUUCUUAAAGCCUCCAGGAAAGCGUGCUGCAGCAUUGACGGUUCAGGCCAAGCUAGACGUGUAUCUGUGGUUUGGAUCUUGUUCAGACUCCUCCCACAUGCUGGAUGACCUACCUGCAGGAUACACACCAAACGAGGGGGGUGCUGAUGCCAGCAGCCCCCCUUCACACCUGGUCUGCACAGAGCACCACCACUUUCAGCUGCGCUGCCACGUGUAUCAGGCUCGCGGUCUGAUAGCUGCAGACAACACGGGCCUGUCAGACCCAUUCGCCCGAGUCACGUUCCUCUCACACAGCCUAACCACGAAUAUAAUCAGUCAGACCCUGAGUCCAACAUGGAACCAGUGCUUGUUAAUGAGCCGCAUCCUGUUGAGUGGAGACCUGCAGUUCAUCCAGAAGGAGCCCCCGCGUGUCGUCAUCGAGGUGUACGAUGAUGACGCUCUGGGUAAAGCUGAGUACCUGGGAGCCACUGUGGCAGUCCCUGGUGUGCAUCUGACCUCUGAACCCUACAUCCCCCCCACCCUGCAGUAUAGUCCACUUCACUAUGGAAGCCAGUCAGGAGGAGACCUACUUGCUGCAUUUGAACUUCUCCAGUCUGGCCAUUCGAGUCUACCGGCUUUAGAGGAAGAGGAAGGAGGCAUCUACACAGUUCCUGCCAACAUCAGGCCUGUUCUCAGCACCUACAGACUGGAGGUGUUGUUCUGGGGUUUGAGGGAGCUGAGGAAGGUUCAGCUUCUGUCUGUUGACCGACCACAGGUGUUUAUAGAGUGUGCAGGUAAAACUUUGCGGUCCUCCGUCAUUCAAAAGUACAAGUCCAACCCAAACUUCACUACGCUGGUAGACUCCAUGGAGCUGGAGCUUCCGGAGAACGAACACCUCCAUCCUCCUCUCAGUAUCACGGUAGUCGACUGGCGGGCCUUCGGCCGCAGCACGCUGGUUGGAAACCACAUCAUCAACAAUCUCAAAGCUUUCAAGUCCACUCCACCUCCAGCCCCACCUCCAACCGACCGAACACAGAGACCAACUCAGGUCACGGAGGCCGGACCAGCUCCAACCACAGAGCCUCCGGUCUCUGAAGGUAAAGCAUUGACCAAUCAGGACUUCCUCGUCACUGUGGAGGAGGAAGCUCCAGCUCCUGCUCCAUCUUCACCUCCAGCUCAGCCAGAACCCAGGAAGAAAAGGAUCAGCGCCAAAAGCACCCGUCGUUCCACCAAGAGGAGGCGGCGGACCAUUGCUGAUGAGUCAGCAGAGUCCGUCAUCGACUGGUGGUCCAAAUACUACGCGUCUGUGGAGAAGCAGGUAACUUUCAAAGCUGUCUUAAAGGACUGGACAGGUCUGUACAACAAGGAGCUGGAGGCAGAGUUUGGACCGUUUGAUGAUUGGGUGACCACAUACGAGCUGUUCAGAGGAAAAGCCAAUGAGGAGGAGGGAACAUCUGAGGAGAGGUUUGUUGGGAAGUUUAAGGGACGAUUCUGCCUCUACAAGCUGACUGAUGGUGGAGAAGGAGGCUCGGAGGCAGUCAGAGACAUGGGCCACUACAGAAUUGACAGAGGGAUUCCUCCAAACAACCAGGUCCAGGUUCUCAUACGAGUCUACAUCAUCUCAGCAUCCAACCUGCAUCCAGCUGACCCCGACGGGAAAGCUGAUCCAUACAUUGUUCUUCGCAUUGGCAAAAAUGAAAUCAAAGACAGAGACAACUACAUUCCCAAGGAGCUGAAUCCUGUUUUUGGAAGAUCAUUUGAGUUGCAGGCUACAUUUCCUCAGGAGUCUCUUCUGUCAGUGGUUGUUUACGACUUUGACUUGGUGGGAGGAGACGACCUGAUUGGAGAGACUCGCAUAGACCUGGAGAACAGAUUCUACAGCCGACACAGAGCCACCUGUGGACUUCCUACUGAGUACAGCCUUGGGGGUUACAACGCCUGGAGAGACUGUCUGAAGCCAUCAGAGUUGCUGUCAAGGAUGUGCAGAGAAAACGGAGUGGACGGCCCUCACUUCAGUCCCGGUCGCAUCGUUGUGGCAGGCAAAGUUUUUACCGGAAAGACGCUCUACAUGGAAGAAGAUAAAGAUGAGCCGGUGGAGUCCUACGAGCACUUGUCCCUGAAGAUACUGCACCGCUGGGCUGAGAUCCCUGGUGUGGGAUGCAAGCUGGUUCCAGAACACAUUGAGACCAGAACUCUCUUCAACAAGACCCGGCCUGGAAUGGAUCAGGGCCAGGUUCAGAUGUGGGUGGACAUGUUCCCUUUGGACCUACCACAUCCAGGCCCUCCUGUAGACAUCUCACCUCGAAAACCCAAAGGGUAUGAGCUACGUAUAAUCAUCUGGAACACAGAGGAUGUCAUUCUGGAAGACACCAACUUUCUGACGGGCCAACAGUCCAGUGAUAUUUAUGUCAAAGGCUGGCUGAAGGGUUUAGAAGAUGACCGACAGGAGACAGAUGUUCACUACAACUCUCUGACCGGGGAAGGAAACUUCAACUGGCGCUUUGUGUUUCCCUUCAGCUAUAUGCCUGCUGAGAAGGUGGUGGUGGUGAAGAAAAGAGAACAUAUCUUCUCACUGGACAAAACCGAGCAGAAGCUCCCUGCCAUCCUAAUCCUGCAGGUCUGGGACUUUGAGACGCUCUCCUCCGACGACUUCCUUGGUGCAUUAGAGCUGGACCUUCAUGGAUUUCCUCGUGGAGCAAAAACAGCCAAGUCAUGCAAAGCAGAGAUGUUGACAGACCUGAUGGAGAAAAUCUCCAUCUUCCAGCAGAAGAGGGCUCGUGGCUGGUGGCCAUUCUGCAAGUCUGGAGAGCUCACAGGGAAGGUGGAGGCAGAGUUCCAUCUGGUGACAGGUGACGAGGCUGAGAAGAACCCAGUAGGAAAGGCGAGGAAAGAGCCAGAGCCACUGCCCAAACCAAACCGCCCCGACACCUCCUUCUCCUGGUUUGUGAAUCCGUUUAAGUGUUUCUUCCACCUGGUGUGGCGAAGCUACAAGAAGUACAUCAUCAUCGCUCUAAUCCUGCUCAUCACCGUGCUCUUCCUCGCCCUGUUGUUCUACACUCUGCCAGGAGCCAUCUCUCAGAAGAUCAUCAAUGGAUGAAGCAGACAGCAGGCUUCAGAGGAGAUAGCCUUCAUUAAAAUAUAUUUUCCAGGUUUAAAUGUAGUGUUGAAUAAGACAUGCUAGCCUGUUAUCUAUAAACAGUUCUUGUUUGUAACCUGGUCAAAGACUCAAACUAGUCUGAAAAGUGAAGAUGCACAAAGAAUAUUACUUUGUUUCUGUGGACAGAAGGUUAAAGGUUAACGUUGUUUUCCAAGUUCAGAAGCUGGAAUUUUUAAACCUCCAAUCUGAGAUCAUGAAGUUUAUUUCCUCCUCGAGAUGCUGACGUAAAACUAGACCAAGACUCUUGAACAGCACUGAUUAUAAAAGAACGCAAAUAAAAUGGAAACUUUUUUUU